This 492-nucleotide ribosomal RNA is filed under the name uncultured bacterium. Its description in RNAcentral is "partial 16S ribosomal RNA". It matches the Rfam family "Bacterial small subunit ribosomal RNA", at positions 29 to 507 of the family's 1533-position model. The record is from RNAcentral.
AGUGAACGCUGGCGGUAGGCCUAACACAUGCAAGUCGAACGGCAGCACAGUAAGAGCUUGCUCUUACGGGUGGCGAGUGGCGGACGGGUGAGGAAUACAUCGGAAUCUACUUUUUCGUGGGGGAUAACGUAGGGAAACUUACGCUAAUACCGCAUACGACCUACGGGUGAAAGCAUGGGAUCUUCGGACCUUGCGCGAUUGAAUGAGCCGAUGUCGGAUUAGCUAGUUGGCGGGGUAAAGGCCCACCAAGGCGACGAUCCGUAGCUGGUCUGAGAGGAUGAUCAGCCACAAGGGAACUGAGACAAGGUCCAGACUCCUACGGGAGGCAGCAGUGGGGAAUAUUGGACAAUGGGCGCAAGCCUGAUCCAGCCAUACCGCGUGGGUGAAGAAGGCCUUCGGGUUGUAAAGCCCUUUUGUUGGGAAAGAAAAGCAGCAGGUUAAUACCCCGCUGUUCUGACGGUACCCAAAGAAUAAGCACCGGCUAACUUUGUG